RNAcentral lists this ribosomal RNA (499 nucleotides) under Vibrio comitans. RNAcentral describes it as "bacterial SSU rRNA". It matches the Rfam family "Bacterial small subunit ribosomal RNA", at positions 67 to 563 of the family's 1533-position model. Lineage: Bacteria; Pseudomonadati; Pseudomonadota; Gammaproteobacteria; Vibrionales; Vibrionaceae. The record is from RNAcentral.
CCCUUCGGGUGAUUUGUUGGGCGUCGAGCGGCGGACGGGUGAGUAAUGCCUGGGAAAUUGCCCUGAUGUGGGGGAUAACCAUUGGAAACGAUGGCUAAUACCGCAUAAUGUCUACGGACCAAAGAGGGGGACCUUCGGGCCUCUCGCUUCAGGAUAUGCCCAGGUGGGAUUAGCUAGUUGGUGAGGUAAUGGCUCACCAAGGCGACGAUCCCUAGCUGGUCUGAGAGGAUGAUCAGCCACACUGGAACUGAGACACGGUCCAGACUCCUACGGGAGGCAGCAGUGGGGAAUAUUGCACAAUGGGCGCAAGCCUGAUGCAGCCAUGCCGCGUGUAUGAAGAAGGCCUUCGGGUUGUAAAGUACUUUCAGUCGUGAGGAAGGCGUUGGAGUUAAUAGCUUCAUCGUUUGACGUUAGCGACAGAAGAAGCACCGGCUAACUCCGUGCCAGCAGCCGCGGUAAUACGGAGGGUGCGAGCGUUAAUCGGAAUUACUGGGCGUAA